GUUUUUCCCAGUCCACCCAUUUUCCUUUUCCACCCAAUUUGUUGCUUUUUUUGUGAUAAAAUAAAACCCACUCUCGCUUUCAUCGGAGAAGAGAAGCGCAAAGUUGCAGAAGAUGGGUUUCGCGAUGCAAUGCUCAAGCUAUGGCUCUUGUAUUUCUAUUUCUGUCCCUCAUCGGUUUCCACAAACCCCUCUAUCUUUUCACGCUUACCACUGGAACCAAUUCCAGACUGCGCGAAAGAAUCAGAGGAUAACGGUUCUUUGUGGGUCGGACCAGCGAAGCUCCAACCUAGGUUCUGAGAGGAAAAGAAAAAUCGUGGAACAUGUUUGUCUGCUCAAAGCAAAGCAGGAAUUAUCAGAAGAGGAAGAGAACGACAUGCUGGAUUACUUGUACACUACGCAGUACCAAAUGGGUGGUGUUGUUGCAAUUUCAUUAGGGCGCGUUUCUGCUCCAAAUCCAGAGCGUUACACGCAUGCGCUGUUUAUGCGCUUUCAGAAGAAGCAAGAUCUUGAAAAGUUUUAUGAGAAUCCCUUUUACUUGAAGGUUCUCAAGGAUCAUGUACUGACUUACUGCCAUGGAUUAGUCAAUGUGGAUUUUGAAUCGGAAGUGGAUGAUGAGAUGCUUUCUAUAUUUCGCAAAGGAGAGGAGUUCAACCAUGGAGUGGAGUUUCUGCUUCUGAUAUCAUUUAAUGAGACUGCAGUGAGUAACCAGGCAGAGGAUGCAUUGGCCUCUCUGGCAUCGAUUAUGUCGGAAUCUCCUUCCUUGAUAGUCCAAUUUACUCAUGGUUUGAAUUUCAGUCCAAGCUCUAAGGAGUAUACUCAUGGAAUUGUGAUACGAUUUCGAUCAGUUGAGGCAUUUGAGAUAUUUAUGAACAGCAAAGAGUACAAAAAUGUAUGGCAUUCUAAGUUCCAGCCUAUUGCUUACAAAUCUUUGUCUCUUCAUUUUUCUGUUGAUCCUGUGGGAACAGAAAUUAUGUAGUGAGGAUUUUUAUGGUUGUCAACAAGAGAUGCGGCUUGGUUUCCUCUUUUUAGAAACAAGGAAGAAGUUCAACCACUACGGUCAACGACAAUAGUAAUGAACCUUCCUGUGAGGGGAGGACUUGGAUGGGUGAUCUUGAGAUAAGAGUCUAUUCAGGAGAUGCUUUAUUUUUCCCCUGCAACCGCACUAAAAGAUUUCCUUUUUACCAAUUUAUAACAAUAUGGCAUUAACUUCUCGAUUUCAAUUUUUUUCGUUGUUGUUGACAAAGUUUGGUUUUCAACCGAGCUGUUAUAUUGUGUAAUCCGUGUAGUCAAUUUCAUCUAGCGAGAUUAGUUGUUGACAAAGAUUGAGCCAGUAUUCAUGUAUGUCUACAUACUGUUACCUUCGCUACUAGCACUUAUCAUUUUUUUACAUCCUUGGCAAUCACAUCGAAUCUAAUACGCACUAAAAUGAAAAGUUGUAGUAUCCUUUUGUUAGGAGACUUACACAAUAAUUAGCAAAAUUUACAAUUUCUUACUACCUAGACUAGUUCAUUUAUGAAAGAUUGUUAUAAAAGAGAUUAAUGGCUUUUCAUGAGUCACUAAGCUAAAAUUAAUAAAGACAAGUAUUAGCGAGGCUCCUGCAAAAAAUAUGGAAAUGUUGGGUUGGAUUUCUCUGAACACCGUACUCUUGCAUUUCUCCAUGUUGAGCUUAAAAGGAAUGAGAAUUUGGGUUGUAAUCUGGACU
This is an RNA transcript of Vigna unguiculata (cowpea), 1702 nucleotides long. It is a transcript of the gene named Stress responsive alpha-beta barrel domain protein, with no coding region annotated. The record is from RefSeq and is a predicted model, not a curated record. Lineage: Eukaryota; Viridiplantae; Streptophyta; Magnoliopsida; Fabales; Fabaceae.